UGGAAGAUGUCUUCUAAACUCUGAAGGCAAGCACUCGGCCAACACUUUUGUUUCUGUAGAAGGCAUGUCGUUUGAUUCAUGCCAAGAAGCGUACAAACAGUAUAAGCUAUUCGCUUGGGAGAAUGGUUUUGGAAUUAAUCAUGGAAAGCAGAGAUGAGGGCAUGCAUGUUACAAAAUUGUGUACUGGUCCUAGGUCAGUUAUAUAGCGUCUUGCUUGAAAUUGUAGUACAACUAUAUUCUUCUCGUUUCCCCAUCCACUCCAUGAUGGUCUUGCACUUGAAUUUUUUUCAUGCUUUGAAAUUGCUUGGUAUUUAUAUUGUAGAUAGUAGGAUGCCAUUGUCUUGUUUGGUUCUUUGUGUGCAGGUUAAGAGGGACAAAGGUAAUUCUUCUUCGUGCAAAACAGAAUGAAGGCGACGAUGCAUCUCCUCCAUGCAAAGCAAGUUGGUAUGUGAGCAUAUUCUAGAACCCGCAAAAUCACACACUAUCUGCAAUUUGUGAAGAGAAGAGGUAGUGGAACUCACACAGUGAGAUCAAUCCAGUUCUUAUGAAAAAAUUUCAUCAAGAGUCUCAAAGUAAAUAAUUUCAGCCUCAACAAGGUGUACAAUAUUCUCACCGCAAUGCAUAGCGAUUAGACGGGAGCAACAUUCCGUAAGCAAAACUUAAGGGAUAAAAAUUAAUGGCUUCGGAUGAUGUUUUACAAAUUCCUCAACCCCUACCGUCUCGAUCCCGUCCACGCUCUGAUCCGGAGGACGAUGCAGCUCUGGCCGAUCGACAAUGGAGGUUUGGGAUCCUUCCUCUCAGCACCCACUACGGGAAGAAUGAGCAGCGCGCCAUGCCGAUCGAACCCGGUUGAGAUCACUCGCCAAGAUUGUUAUUCUAAACUUUUGUGUAAACAAAGUGAAGAGUGGGACAGGAUCUGCACUUGUGUUAAUAUAACAUAUACUUGUGUAAGUGCAGGUUUUGUUUUAAAAAUCCAAUAUGUUGAUCCUUUUUGUCGCUGAAAAUUGUUGCAGGUGCAGGUGUUGCUUGAUCCUAUCCACCCGUCUCAGCUUCUGAGGAUCCGAUCGGAGUUAAGUUCUUAGACCCUUAUUCGUGUUUCAUCUUCUUUUGGUUUUCUUUGGUCCGUGGCAGCAGCGGCAUCCAUGGAUGGUGAUGAGCUCGAUCACUUCGAUAGCUACAAGUUGUGGAAGGCACUAUGGUGGCUUGAAUCAUGCCAUGAAGCAGAAGAUGAGUAUGAACUGAGUUGCGCAAGAACCUGAUGGUCGUGGGGCUGGAGUUUUUCUUUGCUCCCAUCUUUGUUGCCCUGGCCUUACCACCCACACUCAUAUCAUUCUCAUUUUGCUUACUGUUUGUUUUUGGGAACAUCAGGUUACAUCUACAUCUCGUUCUACUUCUAUACUUGUUUACCUGUUUACUUGAUACAUAAUUUCACAUGGGUAAACUUAUAAUAUUUAGUCCGGUUUAGAUGAUGAAAUCAGCUGGAGUAUAGACGGGGCUUGUACAAAUUUUUUAGGAGAAGACUACCCCAAUUGUGGCAUUGGUCGUAAUUAAUCUGGUGUUCUUCAGGUGAGUGACAUUAUUUCAUUUCGGGAAGCACGAGCUGGAAUCUGCUUAUUCCGUCUGGUAUAAUCAAUGUUUUCUAAUUAAACAGAAGUUUUAUGUGAUAACCUUCCAGAAUAGAGUGCCAUGCAAAGAUGACUUUUCUUUUACUUCUCAAGGAGAAUACGCAGAUUAACUUUCCAUGAGUAGUCUUCUAUUGUUAACUAAACUUAUUUAGUUCUCAUGCACGUGGAUAAUAUUAGAACUUCGAAGUGAUCAAAUUAUAUGCUUUCGUAUGCAAGAUUGUAAACUAACCAUUGCAUACACAUCUUAGCUCCAGAUUUUCAGUUUGUGCUUGUCUAAUGAAAAAUCAAUUCCCUUUGGAUUUGGGAGCAGUAUAUGCCAAGUUUCUGUACGUGCCAGAGUCAAUAUUUCCUUUAAGGCGAGUUUAAAAGUUCAAUUUUAGGGAUUAGCUUUUUGGUGACAGUUCUCUGUUGUAUACUCCGAACUGCGUCGAUAUAUUGGUCUGAAUCUUUUGUUAACCUACUUUACUUUCGGAAUCGGCUCUCAUAGGAAUUCUCAUCUUGACCAAGUUUAGUAACAUAGUUCGUGCAAUUUGAUUACAUAAAAUUAUAUGAGAAAUCUUCAUGAAAGAAUACAUUUUCAGUCAUUUGACAUACAAGGCCCAAUCAUUAUCUAAUUAUUUCUAGGGUUUUAAUACUUGGUUUUACUUUUGGAUAUAUCUAUUUGCUAAAACGACACAUAAAGUGAGAAAUAUUUUAAGCUGGACAAAUGUGCAUUGCAUCU
Long non-coding RNA from Triticum aestivum (bread wheat), 2346 nucleotides. RefSeq lists it as uncharacterized. Lineage: Eukaryota; Viridiplantae; Streptophyta; Magnoliopsida; Poales; Poaceae. The transcript is spliced from 3 exons. The record is from RefSeq and is a predicted model, not a curated record.